GCAAAAAUGCAAGAUUCUUGAAUAACUUUUUCGGACGAUGCGAAUGCGCGACACGAAGGCGACUUUUUUAUUGGAGCAAAAAUGCAAGAUUCUUGAAUAACCUUUUCGGACCAUGUGAAUGCGUGAUGAUAAAGCAGAAAAAGGAUAAGAGGGCUUAAAAAUUUAAAAAUUGGAUGGACCCCCAUCUUCCAUCUUCCAAGAAGCUGCCCCCCCUAGACCCCAAGCCUCAAGACUUCUGCUUCGGCCAUUGGCUUAAAAGACCACGAACUGCUGCGGUGCUUCCUCUGCCUUCUGUUCGCUUCACCAUUUUUCCUCCACUUUGGGUUCUCUCUCGCAGUCGUUCCUUCCUUUACUUCACCUAUAUUGUUUUUGAAUUAAUACUCUUGCUGCGGAAUUUCAUUUGGAGGAUUAUUGGCAAGUUUUUACCAGAUCUGUUAAUUCAUGAGCAGAUUACCACGAUCUUUUUCUUGCCAAAAGAAUUGCUCCAUUCUAAUAAACUUUUCAGUACGGAACAACCCUGCUAAUGGAGGAAAAGAGACAUUAAAGGAAACAGGGGUUUCCGGAUCUGAUUCCGAGGAAACAUUUUCCUUCUAGCGGUAGCAGCCAAUGAAACCCAGUUGCCACUUUUAUGGACUUUUUGAUGACAUACUCUGCCUGAAAUAGAUUCAAACUGCUCAAUGGAUUUCUAAUGUUCGAGUACGAAGGAACACAAUCGCAUACGGUGGAAGUGGAAAUAUUGAACCAGAAGGGUAGAUCUGAUAACGAUCUCACGCUGGAUGUUAAACCGGCCGGAGGCUAUGAACUACAACCCGGUGAAUUAGGGUGACAAGCUUCUCAAGCAAAAAGGGAUGAGAUCUGGGAUUACUUGAUGAACGAAAAGGUGCUCUGCACUGGAGUUUGAGGACGAGGGGGACCGAGUAAAACCUCUCUCGUGAAGCAUAUACAUGAUUAAAUUUUGCAGAACUGUAGAAGGUUUCCGUGGUGCUUUUUUGGUCACUGAUCGCAGGAAGGCGCUGUUGGUGUGGUAUAAACUGAUAUUGCGUACUUCUCGAACUGGAUUUGACGGAGCAGGGUAGGAAGAACAGGUCCAUAUCCCUAUCUGUGAGCGAUAUUUACCGGGGUGCAAGACUGAGGGACGGAUUGCUGGGUAGGAAGAACAGGUUCAUAUCUCUGUUUGAAGCUUCGACCUUUGGAUUGGAGAACCCUUGUCAUUUACUAUUGACUUGUAAAGGGGCAUGCUUUCUUUGUGAAAAUAGUGGGAAUUCUUGUGACACUUGUGGGAAGCGUUACAUUGGUCAUUGUCGCUGGAAUGCACGGGCAUGCUUUCUUUUGUGAAGAUAUUCAGAUUUCUUGCGACACUUGUGGGAAGCGUCACAUUGGUCAUUGUCGCUCGAAUGCAGGGGCAUGCUUUCUUUGUGGGAAUAUUAGAUAUAUGGCACAUGGCUGUUGUAUGCAAAGGGAUGAUCUAGCUGAUUGUACAUCAAGCUUUCUGUGCGGGCAGGUUGGACAUAGAGCAUGAACUUGUUCUAUGGGGAGGAAUGCCCCUAUUGUUUGCAUGCCACAAGGUAAUGAACAAAGGCAAAAAGCAACUGGAAAAGUUUUCAUCGUGACAGAGUCGGAUGCUGCAGUUUUUAAUGCAGUCGUUGCAGGAAAUUGUAAAGGCACUUGUCCAAUAUUGAUCUCAGCCUUGCAAGCAAGAGACUUUUGAAAAUGGACUUUUAUGAUUAUUUGACUUGUCUAAAAGACAAAAGGAAGGGUGUUAUAAAGCAUUCCUAUUAUCAGAGUUUCGAGAUGUGUUUCCUUAACAUCUACCGAGUUUGCCUCCUGAUGGAGAGAUUGAAGUCUACAUUGACUUGAUGAUCGAUACAGUACCUAUGCACCAUCAUCGGAUGGUAUUUUCUAAACUAAAGGAAUUGAAAACACAGUUGGAAGAGCUUUUGGAUAAGUGUUUCAAUAGACCCAAUGUUUCAUCCUGAAGCAAUUGUUCAGUGGAAUUGGCCUACUAAUGUUAUAGAUGGGAGAAACUUUCUUCGGUUAACUAACUUCCACAGGCUAUUGGUGAAGGGAUUCCUUAAAAUUGCCAGUCCACUUACUUUGCCAAACUCAUAAGGGAGUUAAAUUUGUUUGAUCAGGCCAAUGUGGAUGCAGUUUCCAAGAAUUAAAAAGGCAGUUAAUUUUGGCUCCGGUAUUGAUUUUGCAUACAUCGACAAGUGGGUUAACAAUUUACUAUGACACAUCAGCAUUGCUUGUGUAAUGAAAAGAAUGAAGAUUUUACAGAACAUGAAAGCUUGAAAUAUGCUUUUACUAAAAAGAAGUGAAGAUGAGGUAGAUGAGACAGUUAAAGCAUUUGAAAGAUUUUGAUCGGUCUAUUAAUUGCUAGAUAGGCAAAGCAAGCAUGGUGACGGAUGCAUUGACUCUUAAGUCUUGUGAAAACAUGACAGCUUUACUCACUACUCCAAAAUCUAUUCUUGAGAAUAUGAGAAAGUUGGACUUGGAGGCAUUGGUUCAUUGGCUUGGUUACAAUUGACAUUAGUUGACAUAAUAUUGCUUGACUUUGGCUUCCCUCUUGUAGCUGCUCUAUCCUCUACUCAACCCUUGUUGUCUCUGCCAUUGCUGAUAAUCUGGAGCUAUCUUCUUUCCCUAAAUUUUCUUGUGCUCUCUCGCAGACAAUGGAGGGUUAGAGAGAACGAUUCAGACCUUAUUGGACAUAUUGAGCUAUAACAUUAUUGAUUUUGGUGGCUCUUGAGAUGAACACUUGGUAGAAUUUACCUACCCAUGCAUGGUUGCAUUGGUGGGGGUGUUCUCCUUUGGUAUAUCCGAACCAAGAGGUAGGAGUUCGAACCCCCAAGAUAUGCUCCGUGAUUUAAGUGGAGGACCUUGUGCAGUAGGUUGCUGGGCCAAUUUCAUUUGAGGUAUAGUCGGUGCUUUACUUCCGUAAGAUAUCCGAUUUUGGGACAAUGUUGGUGAAAAGAGACUAACUGAUUCAGAGUUUAUUCAACUAUCAAAAGAAAGAGGCAGAUCUAAUGGCAAAACCACACCGAAAGAGGGGUUACUUGGGAGUUCAAGGAGGAUGCAAAGCGCGAACACCCUUAUUUCAGGUAAGGCCCAAAAAUGAUUUUAGUGCGUUAAUGAGUUCAAUUUGAUAUAUUAAAUGGUGAUCGGCAUUGUCUUGAUUGCCUUAAAAUUAAUCGGAAUUGCCUCAUUUUUUGCUUUGAUGAGUGAACCAUAUACCAAUUUAUCUAAUGUAUAUUUCUUUGAGAAGCAACACGCAUGAUGAAAUAAAUAAAAAAUAAAAACAUGAAAUCCUAGUUAUCAUUACAAAAUGUAGCUAAGUUGAUUAGAUGUCAAUCUAAAAUCUAUUAUUUUUUUCUUUUUGGGUGAAGCAACACCUAUGCAAUAUUUUUCCUUUUAACCUUUAAUAUCAUUUAAUUAUCCAAUACGGGCUGUCAUAAUAUUGUCUAACAUCAUUUAUUUGUGGACACAUUUUUUGUAUUGUAUUUUCUAAAUGGAGUCGUGUAACUGGGUCAUAUUUUUAACUUUGUUUGUUUCAAUAAUUUUUCAUUGGAGUUCUGAACAAAAAAUGAUAAAUAGUAUAAAGAAAGGUACCGUUAAAAAUUCUUUUCCCCCAAAAAAACCUCCGGUGUGAUUAGUGCAGAACCAGUCCCAAUAUUCGAAAUAAGUUCUAUCCUUUUUCUACGAUUUUUAAUCUACCAUAUAUGCUAUAAAAUAGCUUUUAAAACAAAGGGAGACUUCGUUUUGCAACCAACGGUGCUUUGUGUUGGCUGAAAUCAAUAAUAUGGAGGACUUUUUCGUGAAAAUGAUCGUCAAUUUGUCAUUUACUAAUAUUAGUUAAUGAUAAAUAUUUUUAAUAUUAACAAUAGUUUUUAUAUAAAUAUUUUCGUCAUCAAGAAAAAUAUUUUGCACCGAUCAAUUUUGUAAGCUAUCAUAUAUAGGGAGUCUUUUCUGAAUUGUUGAUUUUUCGGGCAAGGUGCACACUCCAAAGAUUCAUUUGAUGACAAAAUUAUCAUAUCUUCGGAACGAUAUAGUUCAUGAGAUAUGACGUGAUGAUGAUGCAGAAAAGCGAGAGGGGACUAGAAAUAUUCUCAAAUAUCUUUUACAAAUUAUAUGUUAAUCAGCACCAUUUUUUGACAUGCCUCCCGUGUGACCCCCAAGUCAUACGGCUAUCAUCUUCCGGGAAGAUGCACGCAAGACUCUGCAAUAAUCUUUUCAGACGAUGUGAAUGCGUGAUAACUAAUCAGAAAAUGAUAAGAGGGCUUACAAGUUAGAAAAUUAGAUAGAACCCAUCUUCCAUCUUCCAAGAAGGUGUCCCCCGUAGACCCCAUGCCUCAGUACGUUUGCUUCGGGCAUUGGCUUAAAAGAGCAGAAACCGCUGCGAUGCUUCCGGAGCUUCCGUUCACUCUUUUUUUUUUUGGUUCAAAAGCCAUCCCUUCCUUUGCUCUACCCAUAUUGUCUCUCGACUCCAUUGUUGGAAAUUCGGGGCUCUCUUCUUUUUUUCCUAAAUUUUUCUUGUGCUCUCCCUCGUACAGAUGGAUGGUCAUAUUACAUCGACAUUAGACCGAAUGGAUUAAUUGGCCUACAUCACUUAUUUAUCUUGGUGAAAUCUCUUGCAAAUUAAUCUCGCGAAAAAGGAAUGUACCAUAUUCCUAACAUUACGAGUAGAUAGAAAUAUUCUCUAUGCUUGGGGGCGAAUAAGCAGAUUGGAUUUGUCUUUUAGAUUUUAAACGACCACUUUGCAGUCAUGUCAACUGCAUGAGACUUCCAAUUUGAAUGUUAUGAUUGGAUACUUUGGCUCUGAAAUGGAUCUGCUGUUCUGUCCCAAAUUGGAUAGCGAUUUCUCCUUUUUCCGUAUGGCUCAUCGAGUUGCCGUAUGUUUGUAUGGCAGCGAACAGGGGAGAGAGCUAAAGAAAGCUCCUUCCUCCGAUCAUGUUAUUAUGUCUGGUCCCUGUACAUUAGUAGGAUCUGAUUUGUUUUUCAUGUUCAUGGCAUUUUGUAUCGCAUGAAGUUUCACAAACCAUCGAGUUGGUGUUCUGUGAUUGUUUUUCACCUUCCUUUCAAAAAUCAGGUAUAGAAUUUUUCUCGAAAUCUCUAUACUGCACCUAGGUCACCAAGCUGUUUUCCCAAAAACAUUUAUUUUCCUCUACGAUGCACUAGUAAAUCAAUUUGUUGGGAUUUGUUUAUUUUACCCGCCACUAGUAUUAUCUUUUAAUGUUGUUUUCUGGCAAUACUUAUUUAAUGGCUUCUGAAGUAAAACAACUUUCUUUUAUAUCUGAACUUGAUUUUAUUUUACAUGACGUCAAAAUGUCCCCUCUCUCUCUCUCUCUCUCUCUCUCUCUCUCUCUCUCUGUGGUUUCCAUUUCUUUGUUUUGACUGAAAACACUAUAAUUUUCUUCGCCAUGUAUGACCUUGAAAAACCGGUGAAAUGAGAACUUGCACUGAAAUAAUUGCAUUGUAAAAAUUGUGGAAACUCUGAUUUUCUUAACACGCGACUCAAUAGUUUUUGGAAAUUCUGCAUCUCUACGCCGUAUUCAUUGGUAGUUCAUGCCAUGUGAUAUGACGAUGAAGCAGAAAAGCCAGAGGGCCAGAAAUAUUCUCAAACAUCCUUUACAAAUAAUAUAUAAAUCAGCAAAUGCACAGGGCGUCGUCCAGUUUCUGACAUGACAGCGCCUUGUUUGGGGGGAAAAUAUUCCACCCAUAUGACCCAAAGUCGCUUGGCUAUCUUCCAAGAAAGGUGUAUGCAAGACCCUCGACGACCAUUCCACGCGUUAUCUGGCUCGGACAUUAAUGCAAGGUAAGUUCAUGCCGUGGAAGUAGGUGAUUAUAAAGCAGAGAAGGACAGCAGAGCCUAAAAAAAUUUAAAAUGAACAAAAACCACCUUCUAAGAAAGUGUCCCGCGUAGACCCCAUCACCGUUACUCAAGACUUCUGCUCCGGGAAUCGACUUAAAAUCCUACUUUUAUUCACCCCCGCGGCCAUUCCUCCCUUCAUUCGGCCUACUUUGUCUCUUAGUUCCAUUGUGGAAUUAAUCUCUUUGCAAUGUUUUCUUGCAAAACAUGGCAAAACAUAAAAGAGAUGGGGAAGCUUCGUGAAGUUCCAGCGAGCAUAUUCUAUGACAGAUAUGUUAGCUUCGUGUCUAAUCUUUGAAGGAGUUCAAAAAAAGCAUUAUGUACUAAACUCAUAUGGUAUAGCUUUUCAUCCGUAGACAAAUUUAACAAUUAGAGAGAAUGAUUCAAACCUUCAAGUGCAUUUUGAGAUCUUGCGUUAUUGAAGCUUUAUAAUGUGGAAAAAGCAAAACUCCUAUUUGUUGGGAUAGUGUUGGUGAAAAGAGGCUAACUAGCAAGAAUUUAUUUGAAAAUCAGGAAAAAGAAAAAAAAAGAAAGUUAGGUUGUUGAAGAGUGUCUCAUAAUAGCACAGAAUUGUGAGAAAAGCUACACGUACUUUAAAAGGUGCAGAGUGAAAUUUAGCAUGGACAUGUUCUUGAAAGUUUCUCCUAUAAAUGACACUUUGAGAUUUAAUAUGCAUGGCAAAUUAAGUCCAAGAUAUGUCGAAUCAUUGUUGAUAUUAAAGAAGAUUGGUGAUGCUGUUUAUAAACUUGCUUUGCCAUUAGCUUUAUGUGGCGUAGAUAAUCUGUUUUGUAUAUUUUUAUUGUAGAAAUAUAUGCCAAAUCUUGAACAUGUGUUAGAUUUUACACAUUUGAGUUUGUAGGAUGACUUGACUUAUGAGGAACAACCUAUUGACAUUGUUGAUAGAAACGAUCAAGUGCAGCGAUGCCAAACAAUUCCCAAAACCACACUAAGAGAGGCCAUUUGAGAAUUUGAGGAGGAUGCAAUAAGCUAAUAUCUUCAUUUAUUUGAAAGUUGAGGUAAGGCGCAAAAAUAUUUUUAGUGCGUUCACAUAUUCUGUUGGAUACAUUAAAUGUUGAUUGACAUUGUCUUUCCAAUUUAUAGGAACUACCUCUUUUUCUUUGCUUCAAUGAGUUCAAACACAUACCAAUUUAACUUACAGAUCUUAGAGAAGAAACACUAGUGAUAAAAUAAAAAAACAUGAAGCUUUAGUUAUCAUUACCAAAUGUAGCUAGGUUGCUUAGAUGACAAUUUAAUAUUUAUCUAUCUCAUCUUUUUUGGUGAAGCAGCAACUAGGAAAUAUUUUUCUUUUAUAAAUUUUGAAAAAGUAGGUGACUUUUUCGUUGAUUUUUUAUUCAUUAUUAUUAUUGUUAUUGUUAUUGUUAUUUUAUUUUAUUCAUUUAUUUGUAAAAUCCUGGAAAAUAUACUUUACUGUGAGGUAUUUCCUCAAGACUCAUCAAAAUCAAUAUGAUACUGAAACUCCUUCAAAAAAUUACGGUAAUUCUCAAUUCAAAUUAAUUCACAUCAAUUAUAAAGUGAUAAGAAUUACCUCCAUCAACUAUAGAAUGACAAGGAUUAUCUUUGAUAAUCUGUCUAAUCAUGUCUGAAUCAUUAUAGAAUCUAUAUUAACGGCUAACAGGCUCUUGAUUCUAUUUUACUUUUUGUGAACAUUUAAUUUUCAAAUAGUUUCGAUAUUUAAAAAUAAUAUCAUUAUAAUCAUCUGUAAUUAUGCAUUAGCCAUAUUUAUUUAUGGAAUAUGGGAAACUGUGUGCUAUUUUUUAUAUAUGAAAUUAUCGCUUUUUCUAUAUUUCUAAUUUGUUAUGCAAUUUCUUAAUAUUUUUACUAAUUCGUCACAACGUCUAACCAUUCUAAUAAUCCUGUAGUAUUGUUUAUUUUUCCACUUUGGGCUUUCAUCUCAUAUAUUUUUUUUUUAAUGAUAGUCUAACAUCAUUUAUGUAUGGAAAUAUUUUUUAAUUGUAUUUCUAAAUGGAGUUUCAUUAAAUUUUCAUUUGAGUUUCGAAACAGAAAGGAUAAAUAGUCUAAAACUAUCUCCUAUAGACUAGAUAAUUGUCAGAGUCUCAACUAGUUCUUAACUCGAAAUAAACGCGGCCAAAGUACGGUACCUUUUUCUGGCCAAAAAGAAAAAAGAAGAACAAAGUACGGUACCUUUUUUCGAGAAGCCGGAUACAGGUUUCGUGAUAAUUUGUACCAUUUUCCCAUGAUUUUUAAUCUACCUUGAAAAGGGGUUCUCCAAUGAGUAGGCUUUACAAUAAAGGAGAAAUUUCCGUUUUUCAUAUUACUUAAAAUUAUAGAUUAACGAAAAUAUUGCAUCGUCCACAAUAAUCUACGUCCAAGCAUUUUCAUCGUCAAAAAAUUAUCAUUCACCGAUUCAUUUUUGACGAUUAACUUUAAGAAAGUUUUUCCAUGAAUUAUAGCUUUUUGAAUGCACCCAAAAUUCCUUUGAUCGCAGAAGAUUAUGAAACAGAUUAGUUAAUGAGGAUUGGAAAUAGUCUCAAAAAUAUUUCACAGAUCGUAUUUUAUCAGCAAAGCACAAGGCGCCAAACUAGCUUUUGACAUGAAGGCGAGCGACCUUUCUUCGGAGGGAAGAAAGCCUCCAAUGAGACCCCAAGACUUCGGUUGUCUUCCAAGAAGUUGUAUGCAAGACUCUUGAUGAUCGUUCUAUCGUUUGUCCACCUCGGAUAAGGCAAGUUCAUGCCGUGUGUAUAAGUGAUUAUAAAGCAGAAAAGGUGAAGAGGGCUUGAUCAUUUUCAAUUAACUAAAGCCAUAUUUUCCAGGAAAGUGUUCCCCUUCGACCAAAAAAAAAAAAAAAAAGGAAAUUGUUCUCCGGUCGACCCCAUGCCUUAAGACCUUUGCUCCGUUCACGGAUUGCAAAAUCUAUAUAUACUCACUUUACCAUUGGCAA
Eucalyptus grandis is the source of this 8783-nucleotide long non-coding RNA. RefSeq lists it as uncharacterized. NCBI's taxonomy places the organism in Eukaryota, Viridiplantae, Streptophyta, Magnoliopsida, Myrtales, Myrtaceae. The transcript has 6 exons. The record is from RefSeq and is a predicted model, not a curated record.